GGACGAACGCCGGCGGCGUGCUUAACACAUGCAAGUCGAACGAUGAAGAGGUGCUUGCAUCUUGGAUUAGUGGCGAACGGGUGAGUAACACGUGAGUAACCUGCCCUUGACUCUGGGAUAAGCGUUGGAAACGACGUCUAAUACCGGAUAUGACAACUGAACGCCUGUUCUGGUUGUGGAAAGAUUUUUUGGUUGGGGAUGGACUCGCGGCCUAUCAGGUUGUUGGUGAGGUAAUGGCUCACCAAGCCUACGACGGGUAGCCGGCCUGAGAGGGUGACCGGCCACACUGGGACUGAGACACGGCCCAGACUCCUACGGGAGGCAGCAGUGGGGAAUAUUGCACAAUGGGCGAAAGCCUGAUGCAGCAACGCCGCGUGAGGGAUGACGGCCUUCGGGUUGUAAACCUCUUUUAGUAAGGAAGAAGAACUUCGGUUUGACGGUACUUGCAGAAAAAGCACCGGCUAACUACGUGCCAGCAGCCGCGGUAAUACGUAGGGUGCAAGCGUUGUCCGGAAUUAUUGGGCGUAAAGAGCUCGUAGGCGGUUUGUCGCGUCUGCUGUGAAAUCUGGAGGCUCAACCUCCAGCCUGCAGUGGGUACGGGCAGACUAGAGUGCGGUAGGGGAGAUUGGAAUUCCUGGUGUAGCGGUGGAAUGCGCAGAUAUCAGGAGGAACACCGAUGGCGAAGGCAGAUCUCUGGGCCGUAACUGACGCUGAGGAGCGAAAGCAUGGGGAGCGAACAGGAUUAGAUACCCUGGUAGUCCAUGCCGUAAACGUUGGGAACUAGAUGUAGGGGCCAUUCCACGGUUUCUGUGUCGCAGCUAACGCAUUAAGUUACCCCGCCUGGGGAGUACGGCCGCAAGGCUAAAACUCAAAGGAAUUGACGGGGGCCCGCACAAGCGGCGGAGCAUGCGGAUUAAUUCGAUGCAACGCGAAGAACCUUACCAAGGCUUGACAUGAACGAGAACGCUGCAGAAAUGUGGAACUCUUUGGACACUCGUUUACAGGUGGUGCAUGGUUGUCGUCAGCUCGUGUCGUGAGAUGUUGGGUUAAGUCCCGCAACGAGCGCAACCCUCGUUCUAUGUUGCCAGCACGUUAUGGUGGGAACUCAUAGGAGACUGCCGGGGUCAACUCGGAGGAAGGUGGGGAUGACGUCAAAUCAUCAUGCCCCUUAUGUCUUGGGCUUCACGCAUGCUACAAUGGCCGGUACAAAGGGCUGCGAUACCGUAAGGUGGAGCGAAUCCCAAAAAGCCGGUCUCAGUUCGGAUUGAGGUCUGCAACUCGACCUCAUGAAGUCGGAGUCGCUAGUAAUCGCAGAUCAGCAACGCUGCGGUGAAUACGUUCCCGGGCCUUGUACACACCGCCCGUCAAGUCAUGAAAGUCGGUAACACCCAACGCCAGUGGCCUAACCUUCGGGAGGGAGCUGUCUAAGGUGGGAUUGGUUGAUUAGGACUAAGUCGUAACAAGGUAGCCGUACCGGAAGGUGCGGCUGGA
RNAcentral lists this ribosomal RNA (1491 nucleotides) under Subtercola boreus. RNAcentral describes it as "bacterial SSU rRNA". It matches the Rfam family "Bacterial small subunit ribosomal RNA". Lineage: Bacteria; Bacillati; Actinomycetota; Actinomycetes; Micrococcales; Microbacteriaceae. The record is from RNAcentral.